RNAcentral lists this ribosomal RNA (226 nucleotides) under uncultured Actinomycetales bacterium. RNAcentral's name for it is "partial 16S ribosomal RNA". It matches the Rfam family "Bacterial small subunit ribosomal RNA", at positions 105 to 334 of the family's 1533-position model. The record is from RNAcentral. Lineage: Bacteria; Bacillati; Actinomycetota; Actinomycetes; Actinomycetales.
GGUGAGUAACACGUGGGUGAUCUGCCCUGCACUUCGGGAUAAGCUUGGGAAACUGGGUCUAAUACCGGAUAGGAGCCAUCUUUAGUGUGGUGGUUGGAAAGUUUUUUCGGUGUAGGAUGAGCUCGCGGCCUAUCAGCUUGUUGGUGGGGUAAUGGCCUACCAAGGCGGCGACGGGUAGCCGGCCUGAGAGGGUGUACGGCCACAUUGGGACUGAGAUACGGCCCAG